This 234-nucleotide ribosomal RNA is filed under the name uncultured prokaryote. RNAcentral's name for it is "partial 16S ribosomal RNA". It matches the Rfam family "Bacterial small subunit ribosomal RNA", at positions 524 to 758 of the family's 1533-position model. The record is from RNAcentral.
UACGAAGGGUGCGAGCGUUAAUCGGAAUUACUGGCGUAAAGAGCACGUAGGCGGUUUGAUAAGCGGAAUGUGAAAGCCCCGGGCUUAACCUGGGAACUGCAUCCCGAACUGUCAGGCCAGAGUAUGAUAGAGGUGAGCGGAAUUUCCUGUGUAGUGGUGAAAUGCGUAGAUAUAGGAAGGAACAUCAGUUGCGAAGGCGGCUCACUGGAUCAAUACUGACGCUGAGGUGCGAAA